GAUGAACGCUGGCGGCGUGCUUUAACACAUGCAAGUCGAGCGAAGCACUUUACUUUGUAUUUCUUCGGAAUGAAGAGUGAUUUGACUGAGCGGCGGACGGGUGGAGUAACGCGUGGGCAACCUGCCUCAUACAGGGGAGUAACAGUUAGAAAUGACUGCUAAUACCGCAUAAGACCACAGUACCGCAUGGUAUGGUGGUAAAAACUCCGGUGGUAUGAGAUGGGCCCGCGUCUGAUUAGGUAGUUGGUGGGGUAACGGCCUACCAAGCCGACGAUCAGUAGCCGACCUGAGAGGUGACCGGCCACAUUGGGACUGAGACACGGCCCAAACUCCUGCGGGAGGCAGCAGUGGGGAAUAUUGCACAAAUGGGGAAAACCCUGAUGCAGCGACGCCGCGUGAAGGAUGAAGUAUUUCGGUAUGUAAACUUCUAUCAGCAGGGAAGAAAAUGACGGUACCUGACUAAGAAGCCCCGGCUAACUACGUGCCAGCCGCCGCAG
RNAcentral lists this ribosomal RNA (497 nucleotides) under uncultured bacterium. RNAcentral's name for it is "bacterial SSU rRNA". It matches the Rfam family "Bacterial small subunit ribosomal RNA", at positions 28 to 520 of the family's 1533-position model. The record is from RNAcentral.